UGAAGGUGGAGAUUGUGGGUUUCCAUCACCACACCUGAUCUGGUGUUAUGGUGGUGGCAGCAGGCCCGUAGGUUUUAUUUAUUUAUUGGUUGGUUGGUUGGUUUUGUCUUUUGGCCUGGUGGGUGUGGAUAUUAUUGCUUAAGCAACUAGAACCUGAAAACCUGCACCCACAUCAUACACCAACUGCGGAAUCUUGGGCCAGUGACUUAAUCACUCCAAGCCUCAGUUUCCUUCUUCUAUAAAACAAAUAUACAACAUUAUUAGCAAUGUUGUUGUAGGUAAUUACACCUAAGUAUGGCAUAAAAUUAACAUUCGCCUUUCUACCAUGACUCUAUAGGAAUUGAUUUUCUGCCAUAAACAGAAAGAAACAGUAAGUAUUUAAAACUCUUAAUUUUCCAGAUUUUGCAGCAGGCAACUUGGGACUAUGACCUGAGAAAUGAGAAGAAACAAGCUAGUUUCUUUUUUUUUCACAAAGCAGGGUUCCUUUCACAUUGGCUUAUUUAUUUUCACAAUGCCACAAAGAAGUCCCAAAUCUUUACAAUUCUUUACUUGCUUCUCAUUUUUUAAAAAAGAAACGCCCUAAAUAUCAAAUCAUGUUUUAAAAUUUUUUAACUGAAUUAUUUAAGAUAUGACAAUGAUAGAAUGUGCCAGUCAAUCAAACUUCCAAACUGCUAAACCUCUGAAGAAUGAACCAUGACUGGAGCUCACCGCAUUUCACAGCUGUUCAGGCUGAGCAACUAUCACUAAUGCAAGUGCACAGCCAAUGCCACUCACACACUGAAAGCACGUGUUCUCUACAUCUGAACCUUCCACAAUAGCAACUGUGUUGAAAACUCCAGUAAAAUUAGCCAGCCUGCUGAUACGUUGCGAUCUUCUGAUUAUGGAGCACAGACAUUUUGUAACUAUACAAUUUAUAAGCAACUAAUAAACUUUGAAAUGUUAGUAAUAUAAUAAAGUUAUAAAUAGU
This 967-nucleotide long non-coding RNA is filed under the name Mus musculus (house mouse). RNAcentral's name for it is "long non-coding RNA chr18:34815946-34816913". The record is from RNAcentral. Lineage: Eukaryota; Metazoa; Chordata; Mammalia; Rodentia; Muridae.